Long non-coding RNA from Xenopus laevis (African clawed frog), 2060 nucleotides. RefSeq lists it as uncharacterized. Lineage: Eukaryota; Metazoa; Chordata; Amphibia; Anura; Pipidae. The record is from RefSeq and is a predicted model, not a curated record. The transcript has 2 exons.
AAAUCUUGAAAGGUUGGUUUUUCCCCUUUAGAAACUCGACCAGAAAAAUUUGAAGUUUAAUAAAUAGGCUCCAUAAUGUCAGUUAAGGAAUAGCCUAACCCCUUACUCAUAAAUGCCAAGCAAGGGCAAGAGUUUAUGGAUAUAUAAUUCAAUGAAAUAGCCUUGAUUAAUAGAAUAAACAACAUAUUUGUUUCUAAUGGGUGCAGGUGAAUUUCAUAACGGUUGCAAUUGAUUAGCAUAUAGUUACCAAUCAAGUACAGCAGAGAUGCAGGUAAAGAAGAACCCUACAAUGCAGUAAUAUUUAUUUGCACUGAUGAAGUCUCAUGGAGCAACUGCUAAAAAAAUCAACAAAAGCAAAUUUCUUAUGUAUAAUUACCUUCCAGUGUCCAGAAAAUUUAGUGCAAUGUUGAGUCAUUUUGUCUUUGUCCUAUACAAAAAUAAAUACAUAAAGGUACAAAUUACAUUUGUAUUUACAUAUUUCCCAUUUCAGUAGUUAUUAAAAAUUCUAUAAUCAAAUAGAAGAAUUGUAAAAAGGUAAUGCCCUGUCUCCAUUAUUAUUCCAUACUUGAACUAUCAUAUAAACUCUGAAUUAGUAAAUCAACAGAAGCAUUGCCUUGUGUGGCUAAUAACACAGAAAAUGAUGUGUUCUGGAAUUUAAAAAAAACAAAGAAGAGUAACCCUAUUAUUGAAAUUAUAAAUUUAAAAGUGGGAUGUCUGACAUUAACCGUGGAAUUAAUAUUUAUUUUGAUACUGCAGUAUACUUAUCUAAGAAAAUAUUUAGUAUUUAGAUAUUUAAUUCUACCUUCCUUGUUUAGUCCUACUACUGCAUCAUCUGUGCAAAUGUCAUUAUCUGCAUUAAAAUUAGUCGCAUUAUUAUUAUAAGUAAACCCUUGUGUGUAUAACUAUAAACUGAGACAGGAAUAGCAUUGAAAAAUCUCUGUUUUUAGAAAUAUACCACAGUAAUGAUUUUAAUCAAAUAUCUUGAAAUAUUGGAUCGUAGAUUGUUCUGUUGACGGUAUGGGAACAUGUAUGGUAUGUUUCUGGAUCUUGAACACCCAUUUAAGUGAUCUAAUAAUUUAACCGAGCCUUACAGGAAUGCUCUGUUAAUAUUGCUUGCAUUGGAAUGUUUUCACAGGCUGUCCCAGAUGACUGCAUUCAAGAGCCCAGCUUGUGUGCCAACCCUAGCGUUAAGUAAUCGAUCUGGCAUAACAAUCCUUUCUUUGCAUUCUUGUACUAGUAAUAUUCUAAUGAUACCUUUUCAGUAAUUCGUUUGUGUACAACUGGCAUUUCAUUGUGAAAUACUGAUUGUAGGUUUCUGUACAUGUAUGUUUAUCUAUCCAUCGUGUUGCCUUUGAAUAGUGAUGGAUAGAAACACUGUAUACAAAUGCAUUCAGUAGUUGUGGAACAAAUCCAGGGCAGCAACUUGUCUGCAAAGUUCUUUAUUGGGAUAAUGAGUUAAUCAAACUAAAGUCAUACGCCACAUGUAAAACCAGCCACGUAAUUUAUGCUCUGAAAUGUCCCUGCGGGAAAAUGUACGUAGGGAAGACAAUAAGGUCUGUCAGUACUAGGAUAAAAGAGCAUAAAGGCAAUAUACGCAAUUUUAAAAAUGAUACCUAUACUGACACUCCAGUAGCCAGACAUUUUGAUACUGUAAAACAUAAUGUAUGUCAGCUAAAGUGGAUAGUGUUAGAGACAGUAGCAAAACCCAGUAGAGGAGGUGAUCAUAACUUGAUACUAUUGCAGAGGGAGGCCAGAUGGAUAAAGCGCUUGGAUAGUGCUUAUCCGAAAGGGUUAAAUGAGCAGUGCAAUUUAUCAUGUUUUCUUUAAUAGUAAUGGCUUGUCGUCCUUUGUUCCCAGGAAUUAUAACUAGAUUCCAAGUUGUAAUGACAUGGAACUCCUGCUGCAUUUACAUAUGGGUCUUUUACAGGUUAGGCGGAUUGAGCAGUAACCUGGUUUUAACAUUAUGUUUCAGUGGGAUUUCAACAUGUAUUAUAUGAAAUAAUGUGUGUCACUUUUAAUAGCUAGAUGAAUUGGGUCACAAUAAGUUUUUACAAUAUUUA